RNAcentral lists this transfer RNA (73 nucleotides) under Cimex lectularius (bed bug). Its description in RNAcentral is "tRNA-Tyr". It matches the Rfam family "tRNA". Rfam says of the family: Transfer RNA (tRNA) molecules are approximately 80 nucleotides in length. Their secondary structure includes four short double-helical elements and three loops (D, anti-codon, and T loops). The record is from Rfam by way of RNAcentral. Lineage: Eukaryota; Metazoa; Arthropoda; Insecta; Hemiptera; Cimicidae.
GUCACGAUAGCUCAAGUGGUAGAGUAGUGGCGUAUAUAGCCGAAGGUCGUGGGUUCGAAUCCCCCUCGUGACA